GAGGGUAUAGCUCAGUGUUAGAGCACAUGCCUAGCAUGCACAAGGUCCUGGGUUCAAUCCCCAGUACCUCCA
Molecule: transfer RNA, 72 nt
Organism: Camelus ferus (Wild Bactrian camel)
Lineage: Eukaryota; Metazoa; Chordata; Mammalia; Artiodactyla; Camelidae
Rfam family: tRNA
About the family: Transfer RNA (tRNA) molecules are approximately 80 nucleotides in length. Their secondary structure includes four short double-helical elements and three loops (D, anti-codon, and T loops).
Source: Rfam